Molecule: long non-coding RNA, 1049 nt
Filed under: Salvia miltiorrhiza (redroot sage)
Lineage: Eukaryota; Viridiplantae; Streptophyta; Magnoliopsida; Lamiales; Lamiaceae
Description: long non-coding RNA (SMIL_LNC007836)
Source: RNAcentral
UCUCUCGUCAAAUCAACUCUAAAGUUUUAAACCCUUCGAUAUCUCUCCUCAUCCUCCUUGAAAUUCUGCGACAGCUCGUCGCCGGGACUCAGCUGUCACACCCCAAUUCUUGAAUGAAUAAAUAUAAUCGAGGUGCAACUAAUUCAUAGAAAUAAACAAGGAACAAUCUUGUUAAAACCCGAAUAAUAAGAUAACGAGUCGGGCUAGGCCCCUUUGGAUCAUAAGUUUUGUUUCAUGUUUCUGACAACCGACGUUCAUUAACAUAAAACUAGAAAUUUUAAAUUGAAGCUUGACAUGAAAUCAUCUUAAGUUGAGAAAAUAAAAGGUGUAUAAGAGUCAUUACUACAGCGGAAGUCUAUAUAGAAAUUGAACCCUAGCCUCAGUCCCGUCAGCACCGGCCAGCCAACCUGAAAACAUUUGAAAGUAUUUUUGGGCUAAGUACUAAUGUACUCAGUGGGCAUGCAUUUUCAUAAAUAUUUCAUAUUUUCGUAAGAGCAGUUUAUCCAAUCAUACUUGACAUGACUUAGAAGGUUUUAAAUUGAAAGAACUUCUAAGCAUGUUAAAAUAAUUUCUUUCAUUUGUGCGCACAUGUCACACUCCCUUUCCGUUACUCGCUGUGAUCCCGGACCUUUUAGCCACCGACGGAUCCAUUACUCCCAUUUACUUGAACUGAGGGCGUAACCCAGACAAGUUGAUUGACCUCGGGACGUACCCAGGCAGACCUUACAUUACAUGCUCCGGAACACAUCCAGCCAAGCACCCUUAUAACACCUCUAGUCAGUGCCCGAUGGAGAUCAACCCACCAAGUCAGCUAACAAGUGUACACAAUUCUCAAAUAACGUGUUAGGUCAUAAGAGAACCUCAAUUGAUUCGUUGUGCGAGCCUUAAACAGAGCAGAGUGCACAUAAACAUUUUAUUGGAUAAACAGUUUGCAUUUCAUUGAAUAAACAAUUUGCAUUUCAUUGAAACAUUUAGAGCUUAAUAACUCAAUCAUACUUUAUACAUUUGGAAAGUAAGCCCACCUGGAUAGGCAAAGCCUGAAGAUCAUA